CCCUUAGAUGUUCUGGGCCGCACGCGCGCUACACUGUUCGACGCAGCGAGUCUUAACCUUGACCGAAAGGUUUGGGUAAUCUUCAGCAAAGUCGAACGUGAUGGGGAUCGAUCAUUGCAAUUAUUGAUCGUGAACGAGGAAUUCCUAGUAAGUGCAAGUCAUCAGCUUGCGCUGAUUACGUCCCUGCCCUUUGCACACACCGCCCGUCGCUACUACCGAUUGAAUGGUUUAGUGAGAUCUCUGGAUUGACGCUGGCUAGGGGGCGACCCUUGGCCAGACUGUUGAGAAACUGCUCAAACUUGAUCAUUUAGAGGAAGUAAAAGUCGUAACA
This 331-nucleotide ribosomal RNA is filed under the name uncultured eukaryote. RNAcentral's name for it is "partial 18S ribosomal RNA". It matches the Rfam family "Eukaryotic small subunit ribosomal RNA", at positions 1470 to 1796 of the family's 1831-position model. The record is from RNAcentral.